GAAAUGCGAUAAGUAGUGUGAAUUGCAGAAUUCAGUGAAUCAUCGAAUCUUUGAACGCACAUUGCGCCUCCCGGCAUUCCGGGAGGCAUGCCUGUUCGAGCGUCAUCAAAAACCAUCGUGCAAAUGAAUUUUUUUUUUCGUUUUGCGCGGACGUGACGGUCGUGCGAUUGUUUUUUUCGCACCCCGUCGAAAUGAAUCCGGGCGGAACUUGGGAUCGGGCUCCUCGGCGUAAUGUACCAACGCAUCUUCAUGCGACUUGCCGCGGAGUUGAGCCUGACCCACGCGUUCUCGCCGUACAAAACCCCCAUUUCUUUACAAGUUUUUGACCUCGGAUCAGGUAGGGAUACCCGCUGAACUUAA
This 360-nucleotide unclassified non-coding RNA is filed under the name uncultured fungus. RNAcentral's name for it is "sequence contains ITS1". The stretch from base 1 to 105 matches the Rfam family "5.8S ribosomal RNA", at positions 50 to 154 of the family's 154-position model. Lineage: Eukaryota; Fungi. The record is from RNAcentral.